AAGGUCCUAGCUUAGUUAAAGCAUCUGAGUUGCAUUCAGGGGAUGCAGGUUAAUUUCCUGCGGACUUUA
This 69-nucleotide transfer RNA is filed under the name Oxyruncus cristatus (sharpbill). It matches the Rfam family "tRNA". Rfam says of the family: Transfer RNA (tRNA) molecules are approximately 80 nucleotides in length. Their secondary structure includes four short double-helical elements and three loops (D, anti-codon, and T loops). The record is from Rfam by way of RNAcentral. Lineage: Eukaryota; Metazoa; Chordata; Aves; Passeriformes; Cotingidae.